Molecule: long non-coding RNA, 1053 nt
Filed under: Amazona collaria (yellow-billed parrot)
Lineage: Eukaryota; Metazoa; Chordata; Aves; Psittaciformes; Psittacidae
Description: lncRNA (ENSACOG00000011073.1)
Source: RNAcentral
CACUCUUGGAGCUGAGUGGGAGCAUCAGCAGGAAGGGGACAGUGUGGAUCCAGGAUGCUUGGAAAAGAGGUUUCAGGGAAUGCCAGGCUCUGGGGGGGUGUGCAAUGAAACCUUAGGGCUGGAGCAGGGCUCAGCCUCUGGCUACACCCUGGCGCAAAGUGAGGCCACGCUUCCAGUUUAUACAGUUUAAUACAUGUGAAACAAGAUACAUUUCCUUUUGAGUAAUGAAUGCAUAAAUAACAGAAGAUAUAUGUGGAUGCAUAAAUAUGAGGCAUGGAAUGAACCAAACAAAACCCAUUGCUUUCACUGGUUCAACAGUUACUGCUUUAACUGGUUGUUUUCCCCCUGUCUUCUCAUCCAGCGCUGGUGGCGCAUCCUCGUGACAGGCUGGGCGCUGCUCUGAUGGAACAUGGUGAAGCUGUCCCACGGUGAAAGGUUGGGAUGAGGGUGAGGAGAGGGCAGGAUCGGAGGCUACAAGAGAAAAACCAACCCCCAAACUGCAAAAUAAGAGAGAAGAAACGGAGUUAAAGGUGACCUGGAAUCCUCUGGAGGCUCCGCUGGCGAUGGGAGGUGGAUGCGGCCAUGAGGGACAACUUCUCAAGUACAAAAGAACGGUUCAAGCAUCAGCUGUGCCCAGAAGCUGGUGGGAUGACGGUGGAGGGAAGGAGAGGAAGGAAAUGGAGGUGAAUGAAGAAAGAAGAGGAACCAGUUGGAAAACGCAUGGCCGUAAUCAUUAGUUCCACAUAAAGCCCAAGGAAACACCACCCGGUUGCAGAGUCACAUGUAAUGCAAAACCCAGACUCGUUUCUCUAUAAAAAUAUGUGCAUUAUGAAGAGAGAGUUUUUUUUUGUGGGUAUAUAUCUUCUUUUUUUGGUCUUUUUUUCCUUUUUUCUCCUUGUUUUGUAUCUCACAAAUACAGGAUUUCUAUGUAUAUAAGUGCUGAUAUACAGACAAUGUACAGCUCCCCCCGGGCCCUCCCGCCUCACGGGACGUCUCUAAAAGGUGCCUUGUUAAAAGUUGAGCAUCUUUAAAAAACCCUCCCCCAAAACCAAC